GGGCCCGUAGCUCAGGAGUAGAGCACUGCAUUCGCAUUGCAGGGGUCAGGGGUGCGAAUCCCCUCGGGUCCA
This 72-nucleotide transfer RNA is filed under the name Candidatus Kaiserbacteria bacterium. Its description in RNAcentral is "tRNA-Ala". It matches the Rfam family "tRNA". From Rfam's summary of the family: Transfer RNA (tRNA) molecules are approximately 80 nucleotides in length. Lineage: Bacteria; Candidatus Kaiseribacteriota. The record is from RNAcentral.